AUUGAACGCUGGCGGCAGGCCUAACACAUGCAAGUCGAACGAGUGGCGGACGGGUGAGUAAUGUCUGGGACACUGCCUGAUGGAGGGGGAUAACUACUGGAAACGGUAGCUACUACCGCAUACCCUCGGAUGUGCCCAGAUGGGAUUAGCUAGUAGGUGGGGGAACGGCUCACCUAGGCGACGAUCCCUAGCUGGUCUGAGAGGAUGACCAGCCACACUUGAACUGGGAAAAGGUCCAGACUCCUACGGGAGGCAGCAGUGGGGAAUAUUGCACAAUGGGCGCAAGCCUGAUGCAGCCAUGCCGCGUGUAUGAAGAAGGCCUUCGGGUUGUAAAGUACUUUCAGCGGGGAGGCGUUACCCGCAGAAGAAGCACCGGCUAACUCCGUGCCAGCAGCCGCGGUAAUAC
This 406-nucleotide ribosomal RNA is filed under the name uncultured bacterium. RNAcentral's name for it is "partial 16S ribosomal RNA". It matches the Rfam family "Bacterial small subunit ribosomal RNA", at positions 30 to 526 of the family's 1533-position model. The record is from RNAcentral.